UAAUCUGUCUGAGGCAGAUCCUCAUCUAGUUAUGAUAGACCCAUACCUGGUUGCCUAGAAUCGCCUGUUAUCGCAAACCCAACUACAUCAAUAGUCGGAUAAAAAGUUAUGGCUCUUUUGAGUUAUUA
Non-coding RNA from Populus trichocarpa (black cottonwood), 128 nucleotides. The record is from Rfam. NCBI's taxonomy places the organism in Eukaryota, Viridiplantae, Streptophyta, Magnoliopsida, Malpighiales, Salicaceae.